RNAcentral lists this ribosomal RNA (368 nucleotides) under uncultured eukaryote. RNAcentral describes it as "partial 18S ribosomal RNA". It matches the Rfam family "Eukaryotic small subunit ribosomal RNA", at positions 592 to 976 of the family's 1831-position model. The record is from RNAcentral.
CAAUAGCGUACACUAACGUUGUUGCAGUUAAAAAGCUCGUAGUUGAAGUUUGGGUAGGAGCGACCGGGCCUUGGGGUGAAUGCCUCAUGUUUUUGCCUGUGUUGUCUCUGGCCCUCCUCCCUUUGUUGUUUUAGAUGAAGGGUCUUUCACUGUAAAAAAAUUAGGGUGUUUCAAGCAAAAGUUGUUUUGGAAUAGAUGAGUAUGGGAUGAUGAGAUAGGCUCUCGGUGCUAUUUUGUUGGUUUGCACGCCGCGAGAAUGAUGAACAGGGACAGUUGGGGGUAUUCGUAUUUACAUGUCAGAGGUGAAAUUCUUGGAUUUUGGAAAGACGAACUACUGCGAAAGCAUUUACCAAAGAUGUUUUCAUUGA